UACGUAGGGUGCGAGCGUUGUCCGGAAUUAUUGGGCGUAAAGAGCUCGUAGGCGGUUUGUCGCGUCGACUGUGAAAACCCGAGGCUUAACCUCGGGCCUGCAGUCGAUACGGGCAGACUAGAGUUCGGUAGGGGCAAGCGGAAUUCCUGGUGUAGCGGUGAAAUGCGCAGAUAUCAGGAGGAACACCGGUGGCGAAGGCGGCUUGCUGGGCCAGUUCUGACGCUGAGGAGCGAAAGCGUGGGGAGCGAACAGG
Molecule: ribosomal RNA, 253 nt
Filed under: uncultured bacterium
Lineage: Bacteria
Description: partial 16S ribosomal RNA
Rfam family: Bacterial small subunit ribosomal RNA
Source: RNAcentral